GAUGAACGCUGGCGGCGUGCCUAAUACAUGCAAGUCGAGCGAACAGACGAGGAGCUUGCUCCCCUGACGUUAGCGGCGGACGGGUGAGUAACACGUGGAUAACCUACCUAUAAGACUGGGAUAACUUCGGGAAACCGGAGCUAAUACCGGAUAACAUGUUGAACCGCAUGGUUCAACAGUGAAAGACGGUCUUGCUGUCACUUAUAGAUGGAUCCGCGCCGCAUUAGCUAGUUGGUAAGGUAACGGCUUACCAAGGCAACGAUGCGUAGCCGAACUGAGAGGGUGAUCGGCCACACUGGAACUGAAACACGGUCCAGACUCCUACGGGAAGCAGCAGUAGGGAAUCUUCCGCAAUGGGCGAAAGCCUGACGGAGCAACGCCGCGUAAGUGAAGAAGGUCUUCGGAUCGUAAAACUCUGUUAUUAGGGAAGAACAAAUGUGUAAGAAACUAUGCACGUCUUGACGGUACCUAAUCAGAAAGCCACGGCUAACUACGUG
RNAcentral lists this ribosomal RNA (497 nucleotides) under uncultured bacterium. RNAcentral's name for it is "partial 16S ribosomal RNA". It matches the Rfam family "Bacterial small subunit ribosomal RNA", at positions 28 to 507 of the family's 1533-position model. The record is from RNAcentral.